Molecule: long non-coding RNA, 258 nt
Filed under: Gallus gallus (chicken)
Lineage: Eukaryota; Metazoa; Chordata; Aves; Galliformes; Phasianidae
Description: long non-coding RNA NONGGAT008580
Source: RNAcentral
UUCAAGAUGCACUUCAGAAAAUCCUUGGCUGAAGUGAUCUCCACUCCAGGCAUCUAAAGAUCAACAACUAUCUUGCCGAGAGGAUCUCAAGUGUUCUGGGAUUCAGUUUGUCUCUGCAGACUAAAACUGCACUGCCACUGUUUGUUCAGCCGUUGCCAUUGUGUGAUACAAUGGGCCUAGAUUACCAUUUAUCAGACCUGUUCUUCCAGCUAGUCUACAUUCCUCGCCUUCUCCACUUCCAGGAUGGGGAGAUCCUUC